UCUGCGCUGGGGCUACAGCGCUGCGGUGCCAGUGUAGACACUGUGGUGGUUACAGCACUGCGAUUGGCCUCCAGGAGGUGUCCCAAAAUGCCUGUUCUCACCUCUUGUCAUCAGUUUGAACGCUACUGCCCUGCGGUGACCAACCAUCAUCCCCACCCAAAAUUCCUUUGGAAAUUUGAAAGUCCCCUUCCUGUUUGCUGGUGAUGUGUGCAGUGGCCUCAGCGCAUCUUUCCAGGUGGCCAUGCCUGCUCCACGCACCAGGCGAUCACACUCUUGGAGCAAUGCCGAGCUGCUGGACCUCAUCAGCAUUUGGGGAGAGGAGGCUGUCCAGUCCCAGCUGAGCUCCAGACGUAGGAAUUAUGACACCUACCGACAGAUUUCACAGUGCAUGACAGAAAGGGGCCAUGACUGGGACACAUUGCAGUGCAGGGUCAAAGUGAAGGAGCUGCGGAACGUUUACAAGAAGGCAUGAGAGGCAAACCGCCACUCCGGGGCUGGGCCCACGAACUGUUGGUUCUACGAAAGCUGGACGCGAUACUUGGCAGCAACCCCAUGUUAAUUGCAAAGACCACUGUGGAUACUUCAUUGGCUCGCAUGCCAGUCGAGAGUUGACUGAGACAGGAGGAGGAAAUCUUGGAUGAGGAUGUGGAUGGGGAAGGGGACCCAGAGGCAGAGGAUGACUCGGAGGCCAGACAUGCAUGCAGCCAGGAGCUCUUUUCUACCUCGGAGGAGACUAGCCAGCCACAGCUGUCGGAGAUUGGCAAAGUGCAAACAGGAGAGGAGGCCCCUGAGAUGACCAUGGGAGCCCAGCCUCCCCCUUAGUUAUCAGCGGCUGAACGGCUGCUCAGAAUUAGAAAGCGGCCAAGAAGACCUAAGGAGGACUUUCUGUGUGAUGUUAUGAUGCA
Long non-coding RNA from Chelonia mydas (Green sea turtle), 905 nucleotides. RefSeq lists it as uncharacterized. NCBI's taxonomy places the organism in Eukaryota, Metazoa, Chordata, Testudines, Cheloniidae. The record is from RefSeq and is a predicted model, not a curated record. The transcript has 2 exons.